CGAGCACUGUUUCUUACCCGUCACGGAUUACUUCUCCGCGAUUGCGUCGCCGAUGGGACCCACCGUCGCGCCUAUCUGUGAGACGGCGAACGACCGCGGUUUUCCUUUUGUGAGUAAUGCAUUGCUUACCCUUCCGGGGCUGCGAUUGGUCUUCGUUGGGACCCACGGUCCUUAGACUCUGCGGACGUCACUUGGGACUCUUCAUCUCGAGGGCUCGCUCGGUAACCGCCUCCGUAUACGCCUCACGCAACGGGUACUUACCGUCCACAUUCCUGGUGAGUCGUUACCAGCAUAUGCGCUGUUCGUCGCGCUACUGAGCCACGCUGGCGGUGACCAGACACCGACUCCAAUCUCGCGCUUCAUAAGCGUAACCAAUCUUCUUCUUUCCUUCCCCUCUCUCUCCGUCUCUCAAUCUUCUUCUUCUCCUGGUUUCCUAACCCUCUCUUUCCCACCACCUUCUCUCUCUAUCCUUCUUAGACGACGUCCGUUGGCGGCGAUCUCCAUAAUCGUUUGAUGUCGGUUCUUGAUGCGUUACCUGUCCCCUUGGGUGGCUUGAUGCGGGUCCUUCAUUAAACCAAAAGAAAUUAUACCAAACGAUCAUCCCAAGAGGGCAGGUAUUGUAUCGGUUCUUGACAUCAAGAUACCCAAGAUGACAGUCAUCGCAUCAAGGAACGAUAACAAGACACCCAAGAGGCCAGGCAUCGCAUGAGUAAUCUCCAUCAGAAUUAGAUCGAAAGGUUUCUUCGGAUAUCUUCCGUCUUUGUUUCUUGAAUUCGUCGUACGUGUUUCGGUUCCGUAGAUUAAGGAUUUUUUUGUGCGUUUCAAGUUUGGGUUUCUUUGAUUUCUCGUCGUUCUCGGGGUUCUUUAGAUUAAGAUUUCUUUUGUACCUCCCGUCUCCGUUUCUUUGGAUUCGUCAUUAAGAUUGGGGUUCCAGAGAUUAUGCCGUCUCUGGUUUUUGGAUGAAGAUCGGGGCAGGACGAAAGACGCCAAAGAUCCUCGUGCCAAAACGGCCGCUGUAUUCUUUAAAGAGCAAGAACGGCCCACAGCCAUUAGGAAGUUGCACAAGAAUGAUCUCUGAGGAGCAACUUUUGGCUGCAAGGGCAUGACGGUAGAAUGGUGCCUUGCCUUCCAAUGCAAUUGUGUGGUGAGUGACUGACCCAUAGCAAUUUUCAUUUUAGUUGCUUCUUUCUCUAGUAUUAGACGUCAAAAUUGGCUUUAGGGCUAUAUAAUUUGUCCAUGCUUCUAAUGACAUAUAUGGUUUCUUGUUGAUUCUGUUUAACUUCUCCACAUCUUUACCCAUCUGCUUAAUGGUAAAACCGAGUGAACGUUACUUGGUGAUCUAGUAAUGAACGUGGACCCUAUAAACUUGCGUGGCAGAGUUGCCUUCUAAUUUCUCAAUCAUGAGGAACGUCAAACUAUAUGAAUGAUUCGUUCACCUCCUUUCUUUAUGAAUGGUUAUGGCUAAAACCUUAUUUGCCUUAGCAUGAUUCACUACUGCACAGGUAUACAUGCUGCAUAUGCUAAAACAUCUUUACUGUUGCAAUUUUUUUAUUGACUCGAUACCAAAUAAUUUGUAAACUCACUUGCAUAACAUCUUGCUGUUAAAGAUGGUAAUAUACUUUGGUGUUUAAGCAUUAUAGCAAGAAUGAAAUUGAAAAAAAAAAGAAAAAAAAAGAGAGAGAGAUAGGAUCAGAGACAUGUUCCCAUAAGAUGUAAUCAAAUGCAGGGUUCUGUUGUAGCAAGUACAACAUGCUUUAGAAACUUCUUUUGUGGUCUGAGAUUUAACAACUGAUCUUAACUUGUGGUUAAUUCUGAAUUCUUAGACCACCGGAGUUUUAAGUCUUCUUAAACCUCAUAUGCCUUGGACAUUUUUAUUUACAGCUAAGACCUAAGAGAACCAAAAACAUAUUCUAGUAUCUAAAUGGUUAAGUAAUCCAGUAAAAAGGUUUGGUGUUACCCUUACUCCUUACAACAGCAAUCCUUGUAUCACAUUUUCCUUUAACUACUACCUUCCGAGUUCCGUCCCACUCCAAACCUGGUAUUUGCUCACCUUUCUUCCUUUUAUUUUGUUUUGGUGAAGAAUUUGCUUGUUACCCUCCCAAGAAUCAAGCUCCUGCAUCGGAGUGUUCCUCUGGUGAAUACUUGCAAUUGUCAUGAGUUCACCAACGUUAAAAGUACUCUACAAAUUUCUUGUCAGCCGUAGUUAACAAAAAUUAGCAUUGCUGACCUUAGCUACCUUUUUUCACUUAAUAGAACAAUCUCAUUAGACUUUUUCAACCAAUAACUUACAGGAUCAGAAUCAAAAGCAAAGGUGGCCUCUCAAUUUUCAAUCAUGAUGAACUACAUUAGAUUUACUUGUCAAGGCCGUUUAGGAAAGGUUAUAAAAAUUUUAAAUAUUAACAAAAAGAAAGUCAUGCUAGGAUCGCUAGCCAAACCAAUUGCAAAUAUUUUUUUGUCUUUUUAUUUGUUAAUGUUGGUAUAAGAGAAGAUGAGAAAUAGAAGCAAAGAAUAAUGACAUAAAUUAAUAAACUGUUAUUUUUACUAAAUAUAUUAUAUAUACAUAAAAAUACUUUGUAAACAUUAGUUGAUGAUUUAGAUAAUGAAAAUUUUAAAUAGAAAAUGGUGUUUUUGAAAUAUAAAAUGUUUACAGGGUGUUGAUAUUGGAUACAGUACCUGAAAAAAUAAAGGUUGAGUUAGACAGUUCAGGAAUAUUUAUAUUUUUUUACACCAUUCAAAUAAGUUGAUUGUUGAAACUAUCAAGUGUAUGGUAAUUCUUCAUGGUUAAAAAAUGAUGUAUUGUAUUGUAUAUAUAUAUAUAUAUAUAUAUAUAUAUAUAUAUAUAUAUAUAAUGGUUAGAAUUUUACCUUAAAAUGAUAAUUGAAAACUUUAGAGGUAAGGAUAGAUUAGUAGUAAAUUUUGGAAAAUUUUUGUUAAAAAGUAUGGAAUUAUUAGUUUAAGAUAAUGUUUUUUAAUCUUUAUUUAGUUGUAGCUUAUAUUUCUUUUGGCAUAGACUUCGACACUUUCGUCUAUAUUUUUUUAUCCAUAUUUUGAUUUUAAUUUUUUAACUUUGUGUGUGCAUGUGUGCUGUGAUAAUACUGUAACAAGUUCCUGCGUUAAACUAUGUUAUGUUAUAAAUUAUAUUUCUUCUUGUUCUCAUUCUUAUUAGAUUCUAAGAUUAUAAAAACAAACAACCACUAAAAAUUAUACUGGUAUGUGUUCUAAAGAUGGAUGUCUAAGGAUGACAUGACAAAUGAGCUAUGAUAGUUAUGGAUGCUUUGACCUCAUUUUUGUUAUCUCUUUUAACUUUUGCCAUUUUGAGUUCCUAGCAACAUCAUUUCAAUUUCUUUACUUACAAACACAAGGUUUUGUAACGUUACGACUUACAUAACAUGAUUCUCAGUAGAUUGAGGGUGAGAUGGGGAAUUGUUCUUGUAAUACUGUUAGAAAUAGAUGCCAUAAUCAGAACGUGUUAAGUGGUCUUCCCUUAUCUUUCUUUCACUUUUGAAAGAGUCUUUUUUUUUUUUUCUGUGAAUCAUAUUUCUGAUCUUUAGAUGUGGCUACUAGCUUGGUUUUGUAAGAAGUUGCAUCUGAACUCAAUUGUGUCUCAAAGAAAAUAGGCUUCCAUUAACAUCCAGUGUGGCAAGAAGCUGAGAUAAUUGUUUAAACCCUCAGCCCUGAUGUGUUUUCCUGUAGAUAUACAAAACUUUUCAUGCAUUUAAAAAAUGUAGGGAAAGAUUGAGUCAUUCAAUUUUAUUACAGGACAAAAGUUUGAAAUUCAUAGUCUUGCAAGUCAUAUGUUCGAACAAUGUUGUUCCUUGCUACAUCAUUGAAUUGUUGCUAUCUAUUGGUAGCUUGGAAUGGGCAUCAACAUCUUUUUACAUUAUUAUUCUCUUGAUUGGGAAAGAGGAUUCUUUAUUUGUUGGUUGAAGAUAGUGGAUUUUUUAAUUGAUUAAUAGACGAAAAACAAUUAUGAUA
This is a long non-coding RNA of Musa acuminata AAA Group (dessert banana), 3975 nucleotides long. RefSeq lists it as uncharacterized. The record is from RefSeq and is a predicted model, not a curated record. NCBI's taxonomy places the organism in Eukaryota, Viridiplantae, Streptophyta, Magnoliopsida, Zingiberales, Musaceae. The transcript has 2 exons.